RNAcentral lists this ribosomal RNA (84 nucleotides) under Besnoitia tarandi. RNAcentral describes it as "partial 18S ribosomal RNA". It matches the Rfam family "Eukaryotic small subunit ribosomal RNA", at positions 1755 to 1831 of the family's 1831-position model. The record is from RNAcentral. Lineage: Eukaryota; Apicomplexa; Conoidasida; Eucoccidiorida; Sarcocystidae.
UUUUGUGAACCUUAACACUUAGAGGAAGGAGAAGUCGUAACAAGGUUUCCGUAGGUGAACCUGCGGAAGGAUCAUUCACACGUU